RNAcentral lists this transfer RNA (74 nucleotides) under Candidatus Woesearchaeota archaeon. RNAcentral describes it as "tRNA-Thr". It matches the Rfam family "tRNA". From Rfam's summary of the family: Transfer RNA (tRNA) molecules are approximately 80 nucleotides in length. Their secondary structure includes four short double-helical elements and three loops (D, anti-codon, and T loops). Further hydrogen bonds mediate the characteristic L-shaped molecular structure. tRNAs have two regions of fundamental functional importance: the anti-codon, which is responsible for specific mRNA codon recognition, and the 3' end, to which the tRNAs corresponding amino acid is attached (by aminoacyl-tRNA synthetases). tRNAs cope with the degeneracy of the genetic code in two manners: having more than one tRNA (with a specific anti-codon) for a particular amino acid; and 'wobble' base-pairing, i.e. permitting non-standard base-pairing at the 3rd anti-codon position. Lineage: Archaea; Nanobdellati; Candidatus Woesearchaeota. The record is from RNAcentral.
GCCUCCGUAGCUCAGCCUGGUAGAGCGAUUGCCUCGUAAGCAAUAGGUCAGGGGUUCAAAUCCCUUCGGAGGCU